UGUGGAAGGUAAAUAGCUGGUCUCAAUAGUGUAAUGAUCAUGUACAGUAGGACUGUGGUUGAGUGGUAACAGUCCUGGAUCUAGACACAUCUACUGCAAUCCCCACGUCCUACCCUUCAUCCUAGCAGAGGAAAGGCCCUGACGCGCCCGGAGAUGUUAGUGACAGGCAAGCCCCAUGACUAUACUUCUGCUUUUUUUUUCAAACUACAGUACGGAAAUGUACACGUUUAGCUAUAAUGUGUGUAACGAAUGUUAGAGUCCCCCACUCCACUUUACCUCUCUCUCUCUCUCUCUCGCUCUCUCUUGGUUCCGAUGUGCCUCUGGUUCUUCUUCUUACCAGAUCCGUUCCAGGGAGCGCAGCACGGGGUCCUGACGCUGAGCCAGCUGGAGGAGGCGGUUAAAGGAACCAUUUCUGAGGAGGAUGAACAGCCAGUAGGGCCUCAUUCACAAGGGGCCUGUUCUGUGGCGUAGGAGAUUUCAGAAAACAGAUGGCUAUAUUGAUUUAAACUGGUGUUGACGACAACGCCGCGGAGACGGACAGCCGCGGAGUGACAUAGGGUUUCCAUCACUUCCGAAGUCCCGCCCCCCCCCUUCAUUUUCAAAAGGAGCACGAGGAGAAAUACGCCAGGGAUUGUGGGAAGGUGAGCGGCACGAUCCCUGCUAACAGAGCGAUAGAUUCCACACGGCCACCACUGCAUGUUAACCAAUCAGGCCGGUGGUAGAUGGUCCGCUUCACGAAGCUGAGGCGCGGGAGGUCCCUCCGCCCCCCCUGGAAAUCGAGGGGGCUCCGGCAUGCGCAGUGCGAUCCAUACUGGAAUCCAGGCGUCGGGUAAGGGGCCUGCAGUACCUCGUGGAUUGGGAGGGGUACGGUCCGGAGGACAGAUGCUGGGUGCACGUGGAGGACGUCUUGGAUCCAUCUCUGCUGAGUGAGUUUCACCGCCUCCAUCCGGAUCGCCCUGCGCCUCGUCCUCCGGGUCGUCCUCGAGGCCGGCGUCGGCGCGCUGCGGGAGCUGCGCAUCAGGAGAGGGAUACUGUCACGACUUCCACCGAAGGUGGCUCCUCUCCCUGUUCGGACGGUGCUCGGUGGUCGUCGUCGCCGGCCUACUAGCUGUCCUACUAGCCAGACUACUAGUCUGUCUGUUGUUGUUAGCGCCUGUGUCUGAUUAGUUAUUUCGGUGGGUUUAUUAACCUCCACUCCCUGCUAGUCUUGCGGAGGUUGUGCGGGAUGGAUUUUGCUGUGUUAGCUCUGUUAGGGGUGUGUGUUUGCGCCACAGGGUUUUUUCCUCACAGUCGUUGUACCGUGGGUACUAUAUUUAGGAAUAUAGUUUUCUCCUCCGUGUGUUUCAUGAUUUUCCCCGCCUCUUGUUGGUGGGUUGGGACUUAUAAUAAACGACUGUGCAAACUGAAAUUCCUUGCUCUCCUGACUCCUGCACCUACCUCUUCUUAGGAGGCAGCUAGCACCACUAUGCUUGAAAAUAUGGAAUGUUGUGCUCAGUAAUAUGUUUGGGGCAAAUCCAAUACAACACAACACUUUGUAUUCAGGACAAAAAAGUGAAUUGCUAUUCCACAUUUUUUUGCAGCUGUUGAUCCAUCCUCAUGUCUCUCCUAUCACAGCCAUUAAACUCUGUAACUGUUUUAAAGUCA
This is an RNA transcript of Oncorhynchus nerka (sockeye salmon), 1644 nucleotides long. It is a transcript of the gene named chromobox protein homolog 2-like, with no coding region annotated. The record is from RefSeq and is a predicted model, not a curated record. The transcript has 3 exons. Lineage: Eukaryota; Metazoa; Chordata; Actinopteri; Salmoniformes; Salmonidae.